AACUCAACUUUUCCUGACUCUGGAUCCAGCAGUCUAUGGACUGUGCCACCUAGAUGUAACAUUUGCAGAAAUGUUUGAAAUACAUAGUAUUUCAAAACACUUAGCAUAGAGUUGUUUUGGUUUUGUUGGGGUUUUUUUAAUCCUUAUUUUCUGUCUUAGAAUCAAUACUAAGCAUGAGUUCCAAGGCAAAAGAUCCCAGGGUCACACAGCUAGGAAGUGUCUGAGGCCAGAUUUGAACCCAGGAGUUCCCUUCUCCCGGCCUGACUCUAUCUACUGCUGCCUCUCAGCAUAGUUUUAAGCUGACCAUCCUGAGCCUCAGUUUGCUCAUUUGUACAACAAGUAGGUUGAACUAGAUGACCUCGGAGGGUCACUUUUAUUAUUUUCGUGAAAAGGGAACUCAAUUUUGGGUCAGAGGCUCCAGGUUCAAAUCCCACCUCUGAUGUAUAUUGCCUGAUUGACCUUGGACAAUGUGCCUCAUUUUCCCUACCUGCAAAAUGAGUACUUUAGAUUAGGUAGCCUCUGAGACCUCUUCCAGCUCUCGCUCCAUGAUUAUGCACUCCAUUCUAGCUCUUUAGCCAUGAUCCACUGAUCUCUAGUCCUAUGACCUGAAUUUAAAUCCCAGGGAUGCGAUUUUCUAUAAUGUGAUGCUGAACAAGUGACACUUAGCCUCAUAGCACUGAAGGCACUCCAGGCUUAAAGAAGGUGAGCAAAGAGGGAGGCAGGAAAGCUGGGGAUUUAUUCUAACACUGCUGUGGAGUUCCAGUUGUCUGGACCAUCAGGUACAUCUAGACACUUACUAGAAGUUCUGCUGCACAGGACCAAUCACCAUCCAAACCUUCUGCAACGGACACUGACCAAUCAACAGCUACCCUUUGAGAUUCAUCAUGCAACAACUUCUGAAUUCAUCUAACUUUAUUAUUACCAAAUGCACAUUUUCCAGCUCUACAAUAUCUACCAUGAUAGCAUGAGAGAUUGUGUCAAUUUUCUCUGAAAUAUUAGAUUAACAUAUGCCUAAUGCAAUUCUUUCCUAUCAAUCUAUUAAAGGAAAUAAAGGCAUUAUGGCAUAACCUGUUCUUGGUGCA
RNAcentral lists this long non-coding RNA (1082 nucleotides) under Monodelphis domestica (gray short-tailed opossum). Its description in RNAcentral is "lncRNA (ENSMODG00000049855.1)". Lineage: Eukaryota; Metazoa; Chordata; Mammalia; Didelphimorphia; Didelphidae. The record is from RNAcentral.